Molecule: small nuclear RNA, 107 nt
Organism: Ochotona princeps (American pika)
Lineage: Eukaryota; Metazoa; Chordata; Mammalia; Lagomorpha; Ochotonidae
Source: RefSeq, a predicted model, not a curated record
GUGCCGGCUUUGGCAGCACAUGUACUAAAAUUGGAACGAUACGGAGAAGAUUAGCAUGGCCCCUGCGCAAGGAUAACGUUCAAAUUCAUGAAGCGUUCCAUGUUUUU